AUUCAGCUGACGAGUCCCGAAUAGGGCGAAACGCAUGUCGGAU
This 43-nucleotide non-coding RNA is filed under the name Schistosoma haematobium. The record is from RNAcentral. Lineage: Eukaryota; Metazoa; Platyhelminthes; Trematoda; Strigeidida; Schistosomatidae.